Oreochromis aureus is the source of this 1070-nucleotide long non-coding RNA. NCBI's taxonomy places the organism in Eukaryota, Metazoa, Chordata, Actinopteri, Cichliformes, Cichlidae. The record is from Ensembl.
GAAGACAAAUAUAUAUAUAUCUUGAUCCAGAAGAUGAAGAAAAUUGUGAGAAUUAAAAAACAGAAGAUUUUGCAAUUGCACAGAUCACUUUUAACCUCAGAAAUAUCAAUUUUAAGCGUUCUUUAAUUAUACGGUAACACCUGUAGUUACUUUAAAGUCUUGAUUUUAGCAUAAAUUUGAAACACUUUAAUGAUAAUGCAUAAUUACGUCAUUACUUAAUUUCCAUUUAUUAGUUGACACAUAUAUGACAAAUUCCAUAUAAGUCAAUUGAUUAAUACUUUUCUUUGAUUAUAUGUUAUUGAACAAUCAAAUUAAUUAAGCGGUGUAGAACACAGGAGAGAUACAUCAGAUUACAAACCAUUUUUUUAAAGCUAAAAAAAAUUAAAUACAAAAAGAAAGCAAUGAUCUUAAUAAAAUGUAAAAAUAUAUCAAAUGUUUAAAAUGAGACAUAGUUUAAAAUUGUAUGAAAAAUAUUAGCUCAUUUUGAAUUUAAUAGUAGCAACAUGUCUCAAAAAUGUUGGGACAGAGCAACAAGAGGGUGGUGCUAAACUUAAACAACUGGAGCAACAUUUUGCAACUAAUUAUAUGAAUUGACAACAGGUCACUAACAUGACCGGGUAUUUAAAAAAAAGAAAAUCUCAGAAGUUAAGAUGGGUAGAGGUUCACCGGUCUGCAAGAAACUGGCUUUAAAUUGUGGAACUACAUAAGAAUAAUAUAACUAUGUCCAAAAUUAGGAAGAUAUGACAACAUCAUUAAAGCAUUCAGAGUCUGGAAAAAAAAAAUUGUACAGUGGUCAAAGCAAAAAUCACAACUGGAUAUCUUUGCACCAUUAGGCAGCAAUAAGGGUCUAUGGAAUUGGCAGCAUUCACAAGGCUGAAAUGUAGAUAUAUGAACUUGUAAUAUCUGCAAAUGAUUGUAUUUGGUUUCAAUUUCCAUUUUACACAGAAUCCCAAAUACUUGGAAUUGGUUUUGUAAAUAAGCAAAACAAUAUAAUCAAUAUAAUAAUCAAAUUGCAUUGAAAUUAAAUGACUUUUUUGUUGAAGAAAGAUUACAUAUUAGAUAGAUCUACA